Molecule: long non-coding RNA, 1328 nt
Organism: Frankliniella occidentalis (western flower thrips)
Lineage: Eukaryota; Metazoa; Arthropoda; Insecta; Thysanoptera; Thripidae
Exons: 3
Source: RefSeq, a predicted model, not a curated record
CGCGGUGGCGGUGGGGGCAUGCGUCCCCUCAACGAGCAUAGUCCUAGCUGGCCGGUCCUGGCCCGCUUGCGCAGAAAUAUCUUUAGUAUUCCGCGGGCGGCCGCUGAUCGCACUUGGUGCGGCCCGGAUGGCGACCGGGCCGGGAUUCAGGCAUAGCGAGUCGCACGACUGAUGGCUGAGAAAAGCUGUGCUGCGCUAACCACGUCAAAACGGUUGAGGGGAAAUCGACGGAUUCGUUAAUUUUAUCUCACGAAAUGAAGAGACCAUUCCCAUUUUGAAUGUGGUGCCAAAAGCUACGUCUCUGGUUGAUCGAAGGAACAUCCUACUGUUCUUCAUUUGAAUCAUCAAGUUCAAGCUCAAGUCAGUGGGAUGAUUAAUAAAUCUGAAGUAUUUCAAGUGUUGGAAUGGCAAGGACAUUAUUUUGACCACAUGUUUAUGAAUUUAUUUAAUAUGAAUAUGUACCUCUAUAUUUUUAAAUUUUAAACCCUCUCUAUGGGGGGCCACGUUUUCGACGUGAGAGGGAUUGUGAUGGAGCAAUAUGCUCCUGCUUCAGUGAUUGUGAAAGCUGUGCUGGUCUGGAGCUUCUCUUGCCAGAUUGGUUUCUUAUGAGAAGCCAGACAAAGCAGCCCCCCCUUUUUUAUUUACAAAACUAAAUUACAAAAUUUCCAGUAGUUCCCCAACUGCGUGAGGUUUGGUCUCGCAGAGGUGGGGGGGACGUUAUCGUCCUUAUUAUCAACCUUACUAUCAAACUGCGAGAAAUAAACAAGCGUGCGAAAAUGAACAAAAUGUGAAACUCUCUUAUCAAGUAUUUUUUGUAUUUAUGCAUGCGGCCCUCUGGCCGUAAAACUUUGAUAAUGUCUCUCUCUAUCUUAAGUAUAAGAAUAAGAAAAAACCCAAUGAAUGAAAAAUGCCUCCUACGUCUUAAAUGUAAAGAAUGAGCUGAAACUGAAACUCUGGGUUUGGGAUCUGUUGAGUGUGGAGCAGAACACAUCUGUCAGCUCUGCGCCCAUGUGAUUAGCGAUCUCCCUUCGUGAGAGUGACCUAAUUAUGUGUACUCUUUGCAUGGAUGUGUUUCUGUAAUAUUUGAUAGGUGCCUUCCCUAGUCUGGGAGGCGGAUCGUUUUGUUGCAGAGCCCAGAUCAUCGGGCGACUACACUCUUUGACACCUGAGUUGUGUAGCAUUAACGGUAGUUUGAACAGGCGAAUGUACCCCUCACGUUCUUAGCGGCCUGUAGCGUCACUAAGUUUAUUAAACAUUUAGAUCAAUCUAUAUUUUGAUUUUGUGCUUAUAAUAAAUUAAUAAAGUUUUAAAGUUUACCAUGUUCUCAA